Sander lucioperca (pikeperch) is the source of this 157-nucleotide long non-coding RNA. RefSeq lists it as uncharacterized. The transcript is spliced from 2 exons. Lineage: Eukaryota; Metazoa; Chordata; Actinopteri; Perciformes; Percidae. The record is from RefSeq and is a predicted model, not a curated record.
ACCCUAACCCUAACCUGACAUGACACUGUCAAUUACUCAAAGAAGUGUUACGUCAUAAACGUUUAUGACUUGUUAUAUGUUUUAUGACACGUUCGUGACAGUGCCAUGUCACUCUUAUGUAGAUACCUUCAAGUAAAGUGUAACCCAAUUAAGUCUU